This 387-nucleotide ribosomal RNA is filed under the name Ochromonas tuberculata. RNAcentral's name for it is "partial small subunit ribosomal RNA". It matches the Rfam family "Eukaryotic small subunit ribosomal RNA", at positions 30 to 432 of the family's 1831-position model. The record is from RNAcentral. Lineage: Eukaryota; Chrysophyceae; Chromulinales; Chromulinaceae.
GCUUGUCUCAAAGAUUAAGCCAUGCAUGUUCAAGUAUAGCAAGUGUACAGUGAAACUGCGAAUGGCUCAUUAAAUCAGUUAUCGUUUAUUUGAUGAUCUCUUGUUACAUGGAUAACCGUAGUAAUUCUAGAGCUAAUACAUGCGUCAAGCCCCGACUCACGAAGGGGUGUAUUUAUUAGAUGGAAACCAAUGCGGGGUAACCCGGAAUAUGGUGAUUCAUAAUAACUUUCGGAUCGAUUUAUCGAUGCAUCAUUCAAGUUUCUGCCCUAUCAGCUUUGGAUGGUAGGGUAUUGGCCUACCAUGGCUUUAACGGGUAACGGAGAAUUAGGGUUCGAUUCCGGAGAGGGAGCCUGAGAAACGGCUACCACAUCCAAGGAAGGCAGCAGG